AGCGAACGCUGGCGGCAGGCUUAACACAUGCAAGUCGAACGCCCGUAGCAAUACGGGAGUGGCAGACGGGUGAGUAACGCGUGGGAACAUGCCCUUUGGUUCGGAAUAACUCAGGGAAACUUGAGCUAAUACCGGAUAAGCCCGAGAGGGGAAAGAUUUAUCGCCGAAGGAUUGGCCCGCGUCCGAUUAGCUAGUUGGUGAGGUAAUGGCUCACCAAGGCGACGAUCGGUAGCUGGUCUGAGAGGAUGAUCAGCCACACUGGGACUGAGACACGGCCCAGACUCCUACGGGAGGCAGCAGUGGGGAAUAUUGGACAAUGGGGGCAACCCUGAUCCAGCCAUGCCGCGUGAGUGAUGAAGGCCCUAGGGUUGUAAAGCUCUUUCGGCGGGGACGAUAAUGACGGUACCCGCAGAAGAAGCCCCGGCUAACUUCGUGCCAGCCGCCGCAGUAA
This 451-nucleotide ribosomal RNA is filed under the name uncultured bacterium. Its description in RNAcentral is "partial 16S ribosomal RNA". It matches the Rfam family "Bacterial small subunit ribosomal RNA", at positions 29 to 523 of the family's 1533-position model. The record is from RNAcentral.